AGUGAACGCUGGCGGUAGGCCUAACACAUGCAAGUCGAACGGCAGCACAGUAAGAGCUUGCUCUUACGGGUGGCGAGUGGCGGACGGGUGAGGAAUACAUCGGAAUCUACUUUUUCGUGGGGGAUAACGUAGGGAAACUUACGCUAAUACCGCAUACGACCUACGGGUGAAAGCAGGGGAUCUUCGGACCUUGCGCGAUUGAAUGAGCCGAUGUCGGAUUAGCUAGUUGGCGGGGUAAAGGCCCACCAAGGCGACGAUCCGUAGCUGGUCUGAGAGGAUGAUCCGGCACACUGGAACUGAGACACGGUCCAGACUCCUACGGGAGGCAGAAGUGGGGAAUAUUGGACGAUGGGCGGAAGCCUGAUCCAGCCAUACCGCGUGGGUGAAGAAGGCCUUCGGGUUGUAAAGCCCUUUUGUUGGGAAAGAAAAGCAGCAGGUUAAUACCCCGCUGUUCUGACGGUACCCAAAGAAUAAGCACCGGCUAACUUCGUG
Molecule: ribosomal RNA, 492 nt
Filed under: uncultured bacterium
Lineage: Bacteria
Description: partial 16S ribosomal RNA
Rfam family: Bacterial small subunit ribosomal RNA
Source: RNAcentral